GGGUGAGAUGUGAUGGGGACCCGUAAGGGGAAGUCAGUGAUCCUAUGCUGCCAAGAAAAGCAUCGACGCGAGGUUUUAGCCGCCCGUACCCCAAACCGACACAGGUGGUCAGGUAGAGAAUACUAAGGAGAUCGAGAGAAUCAUGGUGAAGGAACUCGGCAAAAUGCCCCCGUAACUUCGGGAGAAGGGGGGCCAUCCACUUAUACGGAUUUACUCCGGAAAGGGUGUGGUGGCCGCAGAGACCAGUGGGAAGCGACUGUUUACUAAAAACACAGGUCCGUGCGAACAAGCAAUUGGAUGUAUACGGACUGACGCCUGCCCGGUGCUGGAAGGUUAAGAGGAGAGGUCAACCCUUCGGGGUGAAGCUUUGAAUUUAAGCCCCAGUAAACGGCGGUGGUAACAAUAACCAUCCUAAGGUAGCGAAAUUCCUUGUCGGGUAAGUUCCGACCUGCACGAAUGGCGUAACGACUUCCCAGCUGUCUCCACCAUGAACUCGGCGAAAUUGCACUACGAGUAAAGAUGCUCGUUACGCGCAGAAGGACGGAAAGACCCCGUGACCUUUACUACAGCUUGGUAUUGGUGUUCGGUGUGGCUUGUGUAGGAUAGGUGGGAGACUGUGAAGCAGGGACGCUAGUUCUUGUGGAGUCAUUGUUGAAAUACCACUCUGGUCAUAUUGGAUAUCUAACUACGGACCCUGAUCGGGUUCUGGGACAGUGCCUGGUGGGUAGUUUAACUGGGGCGGUUGCCUCCUAAAGAGUAACGGAGGCGCCCAAAGGUUCCCUCAACCUGGUUGGCAAUCAGGUGGCGAGUGUAAGUGCACAAGGGAGCUUGACUGUGAGACUGACAGGUCGAGCAGGGACGAAAGUCGGGACUAGUGAUCCGGCAGUGGCUUGUGGAAGCGCUGUCGCUCAACGGAUAAAAGGUACCUCGGGGAUAACAGGCUGAUCUUGCCCAAGAGUCCAUAUCGACGGCAUGGUUUGGCACCUCGAUGUCGGCUCGUCGCAUCCUGGGGCUGGAGUAGGUCCCAAGGGUUGGGCUGUUCGCCCAUUAAAGCGGUACGCGAGCUGGGUUUAGAACGUCGUGAGACAGUUCGGUCCCUAUCCUCUGCGCGCGUUGGAAAUUUGAGAGGAUCUGACCCUAGUACGAGAGGACCGGGUUGGACGGACCUCUGGUGUGCCAGUUGUUCUGCCAAGGGCAUGGCUGGUUGGCUACGUUCGGGAUGGAUAACCGCUC
RNAcentral lists this ribosomal RNA (1233 nucleotides) under metagenome. RNAcentral's name for it is "bacterial LSU rRNA". It matches the Rfam family "Bacterial large subunit ribosomal RNA", at positions 1554 to 2773 of the family's 2925-position model. The record is from RNAcentral.